AGAGUUUGAUCAUGGCUCAGAUUGAACGCUGGCGGCAGGCCUAACACAUGCAAGUCGAACGGUAACAGGAAACAGCUUGCUGUUUCGCUGACGAGUGGCGGACGGGUGAGUAAUGUCUGGGAAACUGCCUGAUGGAGGGGGAUAACUACUGGAAACGGUAGCUAAUACCGCAUAACGUCGCAAGACCAAAGAGGGGGACCCUCGGGCCUCUUGCCAUCGGAUGUGCCCAGAUGGGAUUAGCUUGUUGGUGGGGUAACGGCUCACCAAGGUGACGAUCCCUAGCUGGUCUGAGAGGAUGACCAGCCACACUGGAACUGAGACACGGUCCAGACUCCUACGGGAGGCAGCAGUGGGGAAUAUUGCACAAUGGGCGCAAGCCUGAUGCAGCCAUGCCGCGUGUAUGAAGAAGGCCUUCGGGUUGUAAAGUACUUUCAGCGGGGAGGAAGGGAGUAAAGUUAAUACCUUUGCUCAUUGACGUUACCCGCAGAAGAAGCACCGGCUAACUCCGUGCCAGCAGCCGCGGUAAUACGGAGGGUGCAAGCGUUAAUCGGAAUUACUGGGCGUAAAGCGCACGCAGGCGGUUUGUUAAGUCAGAUGUGAAAUCCCCGGGCUCAACCUGGGAACUGCAUCUGAUACUGGCAAGCUUGAGUCUCGUAGAGGGGGUAGAAUUCCAGGUGUAGCGGUGAAAUGCGUAGAGAUCUGGAGGAAUACCGGUGGCGAAGGCGGCCCCCUGGACGAAGACUGACGCUCAGGUGCGAAAGCGUGGGGAGCAAACAGGAUUAGAUACCCUGGUAGUCCACGCCGUAAACGAUGUCGACUUGGAGGUUGUGCCCUUGAGGCGUGGCUUCCGGAGCUAACGCGUUAAGUCGACCGCCUGGGGAGUACGGCCGCAAGGUUAAAACUCAAAUGAAUUGACGGGGGCCCGCACAAGCGGUGGAGCAUGUGGUUUAAUUCGAUGCAACGCGAAGAACCUUACCUGGUCUUGACAUCCACGGAAGUUUUCAGAGAUGAGAAUGUGCCUUCGGGAACCGUGAGACAGGUGCUGCAUGGCUGUCGUCAGCUCGUGUUGUGAAAUGUUGGGUUAAGUCCCGCAACGAGCGCAACCCUUAUCCUUUGUUGCCAGCGGUCCGGCCGGGAACUCAAAGGAGACUGCCAGUGAUAAACUGGAGGAAGGUGGGGAUGACGUCAAGUCGUCAUGGCCCUUACGACCAGGGCUACACACGUGCUACAAUGGCGCAUACAAAGAGAAGCGACCUCGCGAGAGCAAGCGGACCUCAUAAAGUGCGUCGUAGUCCGGAUUGGAGUCUGCAACUCGACUCCAUGAAGUCGGAAUCGCUAGUAAUCGUGGAUCAGAAUGCCACGGUGAAUACGUUCCCGGGCCUUGUACACACCGCCCGUCACACCAUGGGAGUGGGUUGCAAAAGAAGUAGGUAGCUUAACCUUCGGGAGGGCGCUUACCACUUUGUGAUUCAUGACUGGGGUGAAGUCGUAACAAGGUAACCGUAGGGGAACCUGCGGUUG
This 1521-nucleotide ribosomal RNA is filed under the name metagenome. Its description in RNAcentral is "bacterial SSU rRNA". It matches the Rfam family "Bacterial small subunit ribosomal RNA". The record is from RNAcentral.